This 292-nucleotide ribosomal RNA is filed under the name uncultured bacterium. RNAcentral's name for it is "partial 16S ribosomal RNA". It matches the Rfam family "Bacterial small subunit ribosomal RNA", at positions 505 to 796 of the family's 1533-position model. The record is from RNAcentral.
GUGCCAGCAGCCGCGGUAAUACGUAGGUGGCAAGCGUUGUCCGGAUUUAUUGGGUUUAAAGGGUGCGUAGGCGGUUUUCUAAGUCAGCAGUGAAAUACGGCAGCUCAACUGUCGAGGUGCUGUUGAUACUGGGGAACUUGAGUACUGAUGAGGUAGGCGGAAUGGACGGUGUAGCGGUGAAAUGCUUAGAGAUCGUCCAGAACACCGAUAGCGAAGGCAGCUUACUAAGGAGUAACUGACGCUGAGGCACGAAAGUGUGGGGAUCAAACAGGAUUAGAUACCCUGGUAGUCC